This is a non-coding RNA of Paramuricea clavata, 654 nucleotides long. Lineage: Eukaryota; Metazoa; Cnidaria; Anthozoa; Malacalcyonacea; Plexauridae. The record is from the annotation of a GenBank genome assembly.
UUCUAAGAUAAUCAAAUGUUUCAAAACAGAUGCACCCAAGGGAUAGAUCGAGGCAAAAUAUUUAAACAUUUACUAACAUAAAGAGCCACAAAAAACGUCUGGGCAUCGUAAAUUUUAUCCCCAGAAUCCAGACUGUGUACUGUAUUCAAAUUCCAAAAGGCCAGAAGACAGAAGCGGAUGAGGAAAUAAAAGAUAAUAAGUUUCCGGACUUCCGGUUUUCUUGAUUCUAGGCUGGUUUCGUACUGAAAUCGCAUAUUGAAUUAUGUCGAAUGGCAAAUCGCCCGCACCCAGGCAAAAAAUCUUUGUCAAAUGCCUGUCUGUGGGGAUGGAAUUCAUGAUCAAAUCCCCACCCAUUGCCCGCACCCUUACCCCCCAAAUUGAUAGGUGCAUUAGUCGGAUGUUGUCCGAUGUCCGACAGUAAUUUGCAGCCCUGCAGACCUAUAUUUAAACCACGGCAUUCAAAUUAUGGAGGAUUCGACCAAAGUGACCUGAUUAUGUCAAUUCGUGAUUCCCCUUAUUACGUUUUCAUAGUGCUUUGCAUUGUGGUUAUAGUGGUAUCACUGAUAUUCAAGAUGGCUUAUUUUUUUUUGUCCUGAUGCGUGAAAGAACUUUUAAAAAAAGCUAGGGUCUGGUGCGCCGUGCGCGAUAGCCAAC